UGUCAUAUAGUUCAGCGGUAGAACGCCUGACUGUUAAUCAGGAUGUCGCAGGUUCGAACCCUGCUAUGCCAG
RNAcentral lists this transfer RNA (72 nucleotides) under Lachnospiraceae bacterium. Its description in RNAcentral is "tRNA-Asn". It matches the Rfam family "tRNA". From Rfam's summary of the family: Transfer RNA (tRNA) molecules are approximately 80 nucleotides in length. Their secondary structure includes four short double-helical elements and three loops (D, anti-codon, and T loops). The record is from RNAcentral. Lineage: Bacteria; Bacillati; Bacillota; Clostridia; Lachnospirales; Lachnospiraceae.